UGGAAUCUAAAUUCCACUCAAAUGACAAGUCAACCCUGUGAAUUAAAACUCCAAAUGGUUUUAUAAAGCAAUUAAAUCAACAUAUAUGUACUUUUUUGGGAGCUUGGAAAGGACUUCAAGACAAAUACCAAACCCUGGUCCCAUCAGUAACUAUAGAACUAUAUGCAAUAGCAUGCAAAUUCCUGCCAGUAACUAUAUAAACUGGAUGUGGUCCUGUGAGUAACUGUAAAAUACAUGCAGUAACAGGGAAAGGUCUCAGCAAAGUGGGAAAAGCACAGAUGUGCAAACACAGCUGAGAAAAAUGUGUGUGGUUCAUUCACUUGUUUGCCAGAGUGUUGUUACUUCAGCACAUUAUUUACAGAUAAAAAAUGGCACAUCCUUGCAGUCAUGUGGCUCCUCAGCUCCCUCUUUAUAAUCCAGGUUAACCAGCAAUUCUGGGCAGAAAUAAUUUGGCUACUUUGGUGCUCAGCUCUUGGCCCAGGAAAACUCCUUUAUUCGGAGGAAGAAGCAGCCAGGAGGGAAACCCAGCUCCCAAGGGGCUCUGGGAAACAGACUGAGAGUCUUUGCCAGCCUCAAUGAUGCUGUGAUUCUGUUUUAUGGGAGCUGUGGGAAGGCAAUCCCUGUGAAACUCAGCAGCACCCACCCACCCAUCCACCCACCUGUGGGCUUCCUCCAGCACCAGCAAGUUGUUGCUUUGCAAAAAUGAAGGCACAGGGGUUUGUGCCAUGAGGUUUUCCACCUGUGCUUCCCAAAUCCAUUUCCAGACGGAAUCCCCACUGCAGCCUUCACUGGGAUUGAUUAUUGUGCACACAGGAUUCACAGCUGUGCUGGUGGCUCCCAAAAGCACUGGCAGCUCCCGGGCAGGCUGAUCCCAAGGGAUUUUCCUUCCCCAGGGGUGGUUGCCAGCUGAGGAAUAUUCUGGAUAACAUCUUUUGGUUAUUGCCUGUAGUGACUUCUAGAAAAUGCAGCUUUUGAAUCCCAAGGGCUGGCUUCUGUUUAGUGUGGAGAACGGAUGGAAAUGAUGUUUUAAUUCAAGAUUACCAUCAAAAGGUCCUUGUCUCUGGUGAUACAUCGAGAGAAAAUCUAGAAAACUGCAGCUAUGAAAGUGGGGUAUUUAAAACAAACCAGAAAGGAUGGUGGUGUCCUGAAGUUCUGGGUGUCUGAAUGCAC
Molecule: long non-coding RNA, 1170 nt
Filed under: Ficedula albicollis (Collared flycatcher)
Lineage: Eukaryota; Metazoa; Chordata; Aves; Passeriformes; Muscicapidae
Description: lncRNA (ENSFALG00000023222.1)
Source: RNAcentral